CCCAGGUGGCCUCAACCUUCAAGGCCACGUCACUCCCGUGAUGGUUGUCCCAAGGGCGAUUAGCGUUCGGUGGCUCGCCCGGUUGCCGCUCCCGCGGUGAUGAGCGC
This 107-nucleotide non-coding RNA is filed under the name Pseudomonas putida W619. RNAcentral's name for it is "radC RNA". It matches the Rfam family "radC RNA", at positions 39 to 149 of the family's 149-position model. The record is from RNAcentral. Lineage: Bacteria; Pseudomonadati; Pseudomonadota; Gammaproteobacteria; Pseudomonadales; Pseudomonadaceae.